AGCGGACCGACGGGAGCUUGCUCCCCUUAGGUCAGCGGCGGACGGGUGAGUAACACGUGGGUAACCUGCCUGUAAGACUGGGAUAACUCCGGGAAACCGGGGCUAAUACCGGAUGCUUGAUUGAACCGCAUGGUUCCAAUCAUAAAAGGUGGCUUUCAGCUACCACUUACUGAUGGACCCGCGGCGCAUUAGCUAGUUGGUGAGGUAACGGCUCACCAAGGCGACGAUGCGUAGCCGACCUGAGAGGGUGAUCGGCCACACUGGGACUGAGACACGGCCCAGACUCCUACGGGAGGCAGCAGUAGGGAAUCUUCCGCAAUGGACGAAAGUCUGACGGAGCAACGCCGCGUGAGUGAUGAAGGUUUUCGGAUCGUAAAACUCUGUUGUUAGGGAAGAACAAGUACCGUUCGAAUAGGGCGGCACCUUGACGGUACCUAACCAGAAAGCCACGGCUAACUACGUGCCAGCAGCCGCGGUAAUACGUAGGUGGCAAGCGUUGUCCGGAAUUAUUGGGCGUAAAGCGCGCGCAGGCGGUUUCUUAAGUCUGAUGUGAAAGCCCCCGGCUCAACCGGGGAGGGUCAUUGGAAACUGGGGAACUUGAGUGCAGAAGAGGAGAGUGGAAUUCCACGUGUAGCGGUGAAAUGCGUAGAGAUGUGGAGGAACACCAGUGGCGAAGGCGACUCUCUGG
This 688-nucleotide ribosomal RNA is filed under the name uncultured Bacilli bacterium. RNAcentral's name for it is "bacterial SSU rRNA". It matches the Rfam family "Bacterial small subunit ribosomal RNA", at positions 65 to 732 of the family's 1533-position model. The record is from RNAcentral. Lineage: Bacteria; Bacillati; Bacillota; Bacilli.